RNAcentral lists this ribosomal RNA (50 nucleotides) under Thelephora caryophyllea. RNAcentral describes it as "partial 25S ribosomal RNA". The record is from RNAcentral. Lineage: Eukaryota; Fungi; Basidiomycota; Agaricomycetes; Thelephorales; Thelephoraceae.
CGAUCUCAAAUCAGGUAGGACUACCCGCUGAACUUAAGCAUAUCAAUAAG